CCCGCACAAGCGGUGGAUUAUGUGGAUUAAUUCGAUGCAACGCGAAAAACCUUACCCACCUUUGACAUGGCAGGAAUCCUGAAGAGAUUUGGGAGUGCUCGAAAGAGAACCUGCACACAGGUGCUGCAUGGCUGUCGUCAGCUCGUGUCGUGAGAUGUUGGGUUAAGUCCCGCAACGAGCGCAACCCUUGCCAUUAGUUGCUACGAAAGGGCACUCUAAUGGGACUGCCGGUGACAAACCGGAGGAAGGUGGGGAUGACGUCAAGUCCUCAUGGCCCUUAUAGGUGGGGCUACACACGUCAUACAAUGGCCGGUACAGAGGGUAGCCAACCCGCGAGGGGGAGCCAAUCCCACAAAGCCGGUCGUAGUCCGGAUCGCAGUCUGCAACUCGACUGCGUGAAGUCGGAAUCGCUAGUAAUCGCGGAUCAGCACGCCGCGGUGAAUACGUUCCCGGGCCUU
This 458-nucleotide ribosomal RNA is filed under the name uncultured Allobrachymonas sp. Its description in RNAcentral is "bacterial SSU rRNA". It matches the Rfam family "Bacterial small subunit ribosomal RNA", at positions 920 to 1382 of the family's 1533-position model. Lineage: Bacteria; Pseudomonadati; Pseudomonadota; Betaproteobacteria; Burkholderiales; Comamonadaceae. The record is from RNAcentral.